This 67-nucleotide transfer RNA is filed under the name Langia zenzeroides. RNAcentral describes it as "tRNA-Trp". The record is from RNAcentral. Lineage: Eukaryota; Metazoa; Arthropoda; Insecta; Lepidoptera; Sphingidae.
AAGGUUUUAAGUUAACUAAACUAAUAAUCUUCAAAAUUGUAAAUAAAGUAAUAUUCUUUAAGCCUUA